Molecule: long non-coding RNA, 972 nt
Organism: Cornus florida
Lineage: Eukaryota; Viridiplantae; Streptophyta; Magnoliopsida; Cornales; Cornaceae
Exons: 4
Source: RefSeq, a predicted model, not a curated record
UGAAUAAAUUUCACACUUAAGGCGCCUUUUUUGCGCCGUAAAUAAAUUCCCACCAAAAUAGCCGGACAAAAAAGGAAAAAGCCCACCAAAAUACUUUCCAACGAAAAAAAUUUCACUCCCCCGCCAAAGUUCCAAAGUAGAUAGGCGGAAAGAAAAAGAAAAAAAAAAAGAAAAAACCCAUUUCAGAGUUUUUCUUCCCUAGAGAAGCUUCAACGAGAGUGUGGAAAGAGAGAGACCCGAAUCUCUCAUCUAUUGAUUUCUUUGGACGAACCGUGUUGAUGGCAGUAAUUUGAGGAAAGAAAGCUUGAUUUCCUAAACUCAUCUUUCUCAGAUUUGACUCCGGACGAUGUCGAUCAUUCCGUUAGCGACCAGCGAAGAGGUUAGGGUUUUCAACCAGCGACCAAAAAUUGAAGUUGAAUCGAGCCACCAUGGACGACGUUUGGACAGAGAAUCAGAGAGAUCUGGGGCAUAUUUUAGAACGCUAUCUUUCUCUCGGUGGGAUUUUGAGAUCGCCUCUCUAGCACCCCUAUCCAUACUACAACAACGUUCACAACCGCCACCAGGAUGUGAUUGAUAGAGAUUUGUGUGAGCAGUUCCUUACAUUGUUGCUGGAUCUGCAACGAAAAAUUGCAGAUGAAUUAGACAUAACUCCAACAAAGAUUUUGAAGAAACUUGAAGAAGUUCGGAAUAAGACCAUUUGAGAAUUAUUAGUCCUAAGUUACUUUCUUGGAUUUUGUACCGUGGAUUUUGCAGCUAUUUCCUUGGAUUUUGUACAGUGAGGUGGUUUUUUGACAAGUGCAGAUUGAAACUCAAGUGCUAGAAGGUUUGUCAAUUUUUCAAUAGAAGUGUUAAGAAAUUGAUGAUUUUCUUGACAAAUGGAUGAACUUUCUGUUUUAGAACAUUGAUAAAUGAUGAAUUGUAAAAAUGUUUUAACUCUUUUGAUAUAUUUAAUGGGAUAUGUAUGUUUUUUGA